AUUUUAUUUCACUUCGUCAUAUUUGCAAAAAAGUGUUACAAAACAUAAUUUUACAUAUAUUAAUGCAAAAUUAAAUAAUUUUUAAGCUAAUAAGAAAAUUAUGAAUAGAUACUCAAAUUGUAAAAUACUCAAACGCGUAAUAACAGAAUAACAAUAACUGAAUGUAAUAAUAUAAAAUGUUUAGUAAUAUUUUGCUAAUGCUUUGAUUGAUGGAUAUAUUUCACAAAUUUUUGAGACAUUUUAUCACAUUCUUAAGAUAUUUUAAGCAGAAAUGAAUGCUUACCGUAAUGAAAUGUUUCAGCAAUAGCUCGACUCAAACUGAAGUGUGUUUGCAGCAAACUGUCUUUCUUUAUUAGACGAAGGCCGUGUGUUACCCUCUCUCCUGUUGUUUAUCUUGAUACGACACGGAAAAAUUUUCAGUGUGAUUAAGUUAUGUUACAUACAGGGACUCGGGCCAAAAUCAAAUUAUAGUUCGGUUUCAGUUAUGAUUUAAUAAAAUUGAAAACUGUACGGGUUCAAUUUCAAUGUAACAGGUUCUAAUUUCUUGACAAAUAAAGAAAACCGAAAAAAAAACAUUUAAAUUACGAUUUUUUUUUGAUUCCGGUUUCAGAUCUUAAUUUUUUGAUUCUUAAUAAAUAAUAAUAGUAAUUAAUAGUAUUUAAUAAUAUUUGAUAAUAAUUUAAAUAAUUGUAGAGUGUAGAGGAAACAAAAGCUAAGUUGAAUUGUCCUCAUAAACUCAUUGCAUUGCAAAAAAGAAAAAAAGAAAAAACUAGAACUGAUUGAAACCGGUUCCAAUCGGUUCAGAUCUCUGGUUACAUGUGAAAACUAAUUUUCUUACAUUUUAGUUUAACAACAGAAAUGAUUUAUUGGUUCGACACAACUGGCUAAAUUUAUUCGAUACUUCUUAUAACGACGUUUUGACCAUGGUGUUUGGUCCUUAUCAAGUGAUAAAUAAUUUAAUAUAAAUCCACACUUAAGGCAUUGUGUCCACAACAAGCCCGGAAAUCUGUACAAUAAAUUAACAAAAUUCAAUGUAGACGACAACAUUACAAUAAGUUAUAAAAUCCGGUUUAUAUUCUUACGUGUCUUUUGCAUGUCCUAUGGGAUAUAAAGUCGUAAAAAUUCAUUUGUCAAUUUCGUUAGAACAGUAGUUUUGAAACGUUAUCAAAAAGCACGUUAGCACUUGGCAGCGGACAAACAACGAUCCUAUCCGAAAAAUUACAAAUAAAUUCAAUGAUUUGAUCAAAUCUUGGUAUGACAACAACAUUGUUGAUAAACGCAUAUAUUUACAAUUACGUUGUACGAAUGGUAAUCUACCAAGAUGCUACGGACUGCCGAAGAUACAUAAGAACGGUUUUCCAUUGAGAAUUAUUGUUUCAGCGCUGGGCAGCCCUAUUUAUAAUGUAGCAAAAUAUAUACAUAACAUUCUCGUCGAUUCAGUUCCCUAAUUCGUACAUAAAAGAUAGUUGGUCGCUAGUUAAAAAAAUUAAAGAUUUGAGAAUCGAACCUGACGAGUUGCUUAUUUCUUUUGACGUCACAGCACUCUUUACAAAUAUCCCGAAAGAGUUAGUUAUAAAGGGAAUUGAAAAAAGAUGGAAUGACAUUUCUAAAGUAAUGACAUUUAGUCUCCCCCAGUUUUUACACACGAUUGACUUAAUUCUUGACUCCACUAGUUUUGUUUUCAAUGGACAGAUAUAUGAACAGAUCUUCGGCAGUCCCAUAGGGUCUCCGCUUUCGUCUAUUCUCGCGGACAUUGUUAUGGAUGAUCUCGAGGACUACUGCCUCAAUUCACUUGAUUUCGUGGUCCCAACAUUUUAUAGAUAUGUUGAUGACAUUUUUGCAAUCGAACAUCAACGCAAUUUGCUAAAAAAUCCAAAUAAUCAUUUUGUCGUUAGUUAACAUCGCACAUUAAAUAAACAUGACUUUGAUUGGUCGAAACCAAUAAUUUUACAUAAGAUGAAAGAAUGUUCAACUAAAAAACGGGAGAUCGCCGAGAUGUUCUUCAUUAAGAAAUAUAACGAUACAAUUAAUCUGCAAAAAGAUACGGAAAAUUUGACAGCUAUAUAUGAUAAGAUAAUAAAGGCGACUUAGUAUUUGUAUGAAAGCUUCUAUUAUUGUUAUGUAUUAUAUUUUAUAAUUCGACAGUCUUCACAUCAGUCAGUGACCUUUUUUAACGGUUCAACAUAAAUAUAACUUGUAGUUGUUUAGCAGUUUGGUAUCAGACAUCGAUCUUAACGGACAAAUCAUACGACGAUACAUAUCUAAACAGUUUUUGGUUAACGAGAUUUUAAUUUAAUGUUUGACAAACAAUUUUUGACAUAUGUUAUUUGACAUACGAGAAACAAUUUAUGACGUAUCUGGGCACACGUCACAAAUUGCGGAAUGUUAUUAUAACAGUUAUUAUAACUGCCAAAAUAAUAGGUUUACGUAAAAAAUGUAUAUAACCUUUUUUGUAGAGCUUUUUAUGAGCUUCAUUUUUUGUUUGAAACUUUUUUCUUUAAAAUCAAUACUUUCAGAGAUAUACAGUAAAAAUGUUUGCAACUUUAGGAAGUGAUAACGGGCAAACAAAGCUUUGUCGGCGAAAAUCCUUUUAGGGACUUUCUUCUCUAAUCAAGGGUAAGCUUUGGUUAAAAUUUCAGCGCGAUCGGAGGUUUCACCUUUUCGGAAGUUUAUC
This 2674-nucleotide long non-coding RNA is filed under the name Monomorium pharaonis (pharaoh ant). Its description in RNAcentral is "uncharacterized LOC118647070". The record is from RNAcentral. Lineage: Eukaryota; Metazoa; Arthropoda; Insecta; Hymenoptera; Formicidae.